This 87-nucleotide transfer RNA is filed under the name Cordylochernes scorpioides. RNAcentral describes it as "tRNA-Thr". The stretch from base 22 to 78 matches the Rfam family "tRNA", at positions 9 to 63 of the family's 71-position model. Rfam says of the family: Transfer RNA (tRNA) molecules are approximately 80 nucleotides in length. Their secondary structure includes four short double-helical elements and three loops (D, anti-codon, and T loops). Lineage: Eukaryota; Metazoa; Arthropoda; Arachnida; Pseudoscorpiones; Chernetidae. The record is from RNAcentral.
GACUUGAGAUCCUAAAUCUCAAGCCUAGUGGACAUGGCAUCUGCCCGGUAAGCGGAACACUGUGGGUUAGAUUCCCAUCCCAGGACA